RNAcentral lists this ribosomal RNA (253 nucleotides) under uncultured bacterium. RNAcentral describes it as "partial 16S ribosomal RNA". It matches the Rfam family "Bacterial small subunit ribosomal RNA", at positions 524 to 776 of the family's 1533-position model. The record is from RNAcentral.
UACGUAGGGUGCAAGCGUUAAUCGGAAUUACUGGGCGUAAAGCGUGCGCAGGCGGUUGUGCAAGUCAGAUGUGAAAUCCCCGGGCUUAACCUGGGAACUGCGUUUGAAACUGGAAGGCUUGAGUGUGGCAGAGGGGGGUGGAAUUCCACGUGUAGCAGUGAAAUGCGUAGAGAUGUGGAGGAACACCGAUGGCGAAGGCAGCCCCCUGGGCUAACACUGACGCUCAUGCACGAAAGCGUGGGGAGCAAACAGG